RNAcentral lists this ribosomal RNA (520 nucleotides) under uncultured Glomus. Its description in RNAcentral is "SSU rRNA". It matches the Rfam family "Eukaryotic small subunit ribosomal RNA", at positions 569 to 1089 of the family's 1831-position model. Lineage: Eukaryota; Fungi; Glomeromycota; Glomeromycetes; Glomerales; Glomeraceae. The record is from RNAcentral.
AGCAGCCGCGGUAAUUCCAGCUCCAAUAGCGUAUAUUAAAGUUGUUGCAGUUAAAAAGCUCGUAGUUGAAUUUCGGGGUCAGUAGGUUGGUCGUGCCACCGGUACGUACUGGUCUCACUGAUUCCCCCUUCCUGAUGAGCUGUAAUGCCAUUAAUUUGGUGUUGCAGGGAAUCUGGACUGUUACUUUGAAAAAAUUAGAGUGUUUAAAGCAGGCUAACGCUUGAAUACAUUAGCAUGGAAUAAUGAAAUAGGACGUUCGAUCCUAUUUUGUUGGUUUCUAGGAUUGACGUAAUGAUUAAUAGGGAUAGUUGGGGGCAUUAGUAUUCAAUUGUCAGAGGUGAAAUUCUUGGAUUUAUUGAAGACUAACUACUGCGAAAGCAUUUGCCAAGGAUGUUUUCAUUAAUCAAGAACGAAAGUUAGGGGAUCGAAGACGGUCAGAUACCGUCGUAGUCUUAACCAUAAACUAUGCCGACUAGGGAUCGGAUGAUGUUAAUUUUUUAAUUGACUCAUUCGGCGCCUU